GCUUUAGAAGUAAUUUAGAAGAGGAAGACUUAACUAUGAGUGAUUUUUGAUUGAUUUAAGGUAAGUGGCUUCCUAAACAUUGUAUUCUAGUUGAAUUCUCAUGCUUCCUUCGUUGAUUGUGUGUUGGGAGUAAUGGGGAUGAGGUGAAGGGUUUAAAUUGUCCACUUGUUAUAUCUAAAUAAAUAAAAAGGGGUUUAAAUGAAAAAGGCUAUGUGAUGAACAUGAUGAUGUGAAUUGCCUUACUGUGACCCUUGUUGAUUGAUUGAUGAAUGGCUUGAAAGCAUGAUUGUGGACUAGAAUUGUAUGAAUUGUUGUCUCUUCCGCGUGGUGUGAUAUUGCUUGUAUGCAUUGGUUGUGAAUAUCGUGAUGAGACAUGUGAUGAUUUAUGAUGCAAGGUCUUUAACGACGAGUGUUUAUAAAGCUGAUUGGAAAUGGUUCUGGCUAGUGAUUUGAUAUAAAGCUGAUGGGAAAUUGUUUUGGGGUGCAACAAGAGUUUGUAUUCUCAAAUGAUAUCAGAGGGGUUUGCAUGUAUUGUGGAAAUUCCUAGUGAUAUAAAGCCGAUAGAAAAUGGUCCCAACUAGUGAUAUGGGAAAUGGUUCCGGCUAGUGAUAUGAUAUAAAACCGAUUAAAAAUGGUUUCGGCUAGUGAUGUGAUAUAAAGUCGAUGGGAAAUGAUUUCAGCUAGUGAUAUGAUAUAAAGCCGAUGGCAAAUGGUUUCGGCUAGUGAUAUUGUGCCGAUUGGAAAUGGUUCCGGCAAGAGAUUGAUUAUUGUGACUUGAUGCAUUUAAUGCUUUUGAGUGGCUUACUUGUUGAUUGUGAUUAAUGUACUUAUUACGUUUUACUGAACUACUUGUCAUUGAGAUUGACUUAUUUUAUUUGUUUGAUUGUUGAAUUGUGAAGAUUGAACUGUGAAUAUUGGGCAUGUGAGCCGUGUAUUGUAGAAAUUCUAGGCUGGGCUGAUUUCUAUGUAGGUUUUAGUUUGAGAAGGUUUGGAUGAAGUGUAAGGGGUAUUCUAUUUCUAGCUAGAUGCUUUGUUUAGUAGGUUACUUGUUGGGUACCGUGUUGUUGGUACUCACCCCAUGGCUUCUACACUUGUGUAGGUUCCAAACUCGGAUCCGUGUGAUCUUCUUCUUCUCCCUCUCCUGACAGUUGAGGCUCGUGAAGGAUUUGAGAGGUAGCUGCUAGUCAUCCUGACAGACCUUUUUUUCUUUUUUUUAAGCUUUGUUCUACUUGAGGUACAAAGAUUGAGACUUGUAUUUAUUUUUGAAUUCUGUAUUUUCUUUAGUGGCUUGUAUACGUAACAACUAGAUUUUGG
RNAcentral lists this long non-coding RNA (1314 nucleotides) under Solanum tuberosum (potato). Its description in RNAcentral is "long non-coding RNA (STUB_LNC003444)". Lineage: Eukaryota; Viridiplantae; Streptophyta; Magnoliopsida; Solanales; Solanaceae. The record is from RNAcentral.